Molecule: transfer RNA, 73 nt
Filed under: Lactobacillus hominis
Lineage: Bacteria; Bacillati; Bacillota; Bacilli; Lactobacillales; Lactobacillaceae
Description: tRNA-Val
Rfam family: tRNA
About the family: Transfer RNA (tRNA) molecules are approximately 80 nucleotides in length.
Source: RNAcentral
GGAGAAUUAGCUCAGCUGGGAGAGCAUCUGCCUUACAAGCAGGAGGUCACAGGUUCGAACCCUGUAUUCUCCA